GCUUACCGUGCAAGUCGAGGGGUAACAGGAGAUUGCUUGCAAUCUUGCUGACGACCGGCGCACGGGUGCGUAACGCGUAUAGAACCUACCUUAUAUUGGGGGAUAGCCCAGAGAAAUUUGGAUUAAUACCCCAUGGUAUGCUAGAGUGGCAUCACUUUAGUAUUAAAGAUUUAUCGAUAUAAGAUGGCUAUGCGUUCUAUUAGCUAGUUGGUAAGGUAACGGCUCACCAAGGCGACGAUAGAUAGGGGUCCUGAGAGGGAGAUCCCCCACACUGGUACUGAGACACGGACCAGACUCCUACGGGAGGCAGCAGUGAGGAAUAUUGGACAAUGGAGGCAACUCUGAUCCAGCCAUGCCGCGUGCAGGAAGACUGCCCUAUGGGUUGUAAACUGCUUUUAUAGAGGAAGAAACCGCUCUACGUGUAGAGCUCUGACGGUACUCUACGAAUAAGGAUCGGCUAACUCCGUGCCAGCAGCCGCGGUAAUACGGAGGAUCCAAGCGUUAUCCGGGAAUCAUUGGGUUUAAAGGGUCCGUAGGCGGGCUUAUAAGUCAGUGGUGAAAGUUUGCGGCUCAACCGUAAAAUUGCCAUUGAUACUGUAGGUCUUGAAUCAUUGUGAAGUGGUUAGAAUGUGUAGUGUAGCGGUGAAAUGCAUAGAUAUUACACAGAAUACCGAUUGCGAAGGCAGAUCACUAACAAUUGAUUGACGCUCAGGGACGAAAGCGUGGGUAGCGAACAGGAUUAGAUACCCUGGUAGUCCAYGCCGUAAACGAUGGUUACUAGCUGUUUGGACUUCGGUCUGAGUGGCUAAGCGAAAGUGAUAAGUAACCCACCUGGGGAGUACGUUCGCAAGAAUGAAACUCAAAGGAAUUGACGGGGGCCCGCACAAGCGGUGGAGCAUGUGGUUUAAUUCGAUGAUACGCGAGGAACCUUACCAAGGGCUUAAAUGUAGUCUGACAGCUUUAGAGAUAGAGUUUUCUUCGGACAGAUUACAAGGUGCUGCAUGGUUGUCGUCAGCUCGUGCCGUGAGGUGUCARGUUAAGUCCUAUAACGAGCGCAACYCCUGUUGUUAGUUGCCAGCG
RNAcentral lists this ribosomal RNA (1080 nucleotides) under marine bacterium HE-29. RNAcentral's name for it is "bacterial SSU rRNA". It matches the Rfam family "Bacterial small subunit ribosomal RNA", at positions 46 to 1123 of the family's 1533-position model. The record is from RNAcentral.